RNAcentral lists this transfer RNA (72 nucleotides) under Thermoactinomyces sp. DSM 45892. Its description in RNAcentral is "tRNA_Ala_GGC". It matches the Rfam family "tRNA". Rfam says of the family: Transfer RNA (tRNA) molecules are approximately 80 nucleotides in length. Their secondary structure includes four short double-helical elements and three loops (D, anti-codon, and T loops). Further hydrogen bonds mediate the characteristic L-shaped molecular structure. tRNAs have two regions of fundamental functional importance: the anti-codon, which is responsible for specific mRNA codon recognition, and the 3' end, to which the tRNAs corresponding amino acid is attached (by aminoacyl-tRNA synthetases). tRNAs cope with the degeneracy of the genetic code in two manners: having more than one tRNA (with a specific anti-codon) for a particular amino acid; and 'wobble' base-pairing, i.e. permitting non-standard base-pairing at the 3rd anti-codon position. Lineage: Bacteria; Bacillati; Bacillota; Bacilli; Caryophanales; Thermoactinomycetaceae. The record is from RNAcentral.
GGGGCGGUAGUUCAGUGGGAGAAUGCGUGCCUGGCAGGCACGAGGUCGGGGGUUCGAUACCCCCUCGCUCCA